CCUACGGGAGGCAGCAGUGAGGAAUAUUGGUCAAUGGGCGCGAGCCUGAACCAGCCAAGUCGCGUGAGGGAAGACGGUCCUAUGGAUUGUAAACUUCUUUUGUCGGGGAGUAAAAGACGCCACGCGUGGCGUUCCGCGUGUACCCGAAGAAAAAGGAUCGGCUAACUCCGUGCCAGCAGCCGCGGUAAUACGGAGGAUGCGAGCGUUAUCCGGAUUUAUUGGGUUUUAAGGGUGCGCAGGCGGAUGAUCAAGUCAGUUGUGAAAGUUUGCGGCUCAACCGUAAAAUUGCAGUUGAUACUGGACGCCUUGAGUACACAACAGGCAGGCGGAAUUCGUGGUGUAGCGGUGAAAUGCAUAGAUAUCACGAGGAACCCCGAUGGCGAAGGCAGCCUGCCGGGGUGCGACUGACGCUGAGGCUCGAAGGUGCGGGUAUCAAACAGGAUUAGAUACCCGAGUAGUC
Molecule: ribosomal RNA, 460 nt
Filed under: uncultured bacterium
Lineage: Bacteria
Description: partial 16S ribosomal RNA
Rfam family: Bacterial small subunit ribosomal RNA
Source: RNAcentral